RNAcentral lists this long non-coding RNA (240 nucleotides) under Capsella rubella. Its description in RNAcentral is "long non-coding RNA (CRUB_LNC003557)". The record is from RNAcentral. Lineage: Eukaryota; Viridiplantae; Streptophyta; Magnoliopsida; Brassicales; Brassicaceae.
AUAGCCACAACUUAUAGUUUCUCAUUAUUUGUACUUUACAGACUUUUUUUUUUUUGUUAAAGAAAAAGAGAGAAAGAAAGAAAGAAAGGAAAAAAAAAAAGAACAUUAAUAUCAUCCUAUUAUCGUUUUAGAAUAAAGAUUAUUAAUUACAUAAUAUCAACCUAGCUAUCCAAGUACUUAAUUUUACAUUCGUAUCUAAAAAUUAAAAUCGAAAUAAUCAAAGCCACCGAAGCAAAAACU